ACCGGUCGUCACGGGUCAACUCUCAUCGUCUCUACGUCCUCGUGAUAGCCAAUUGGAUAGUUGUUUCGGCUCGUGAAAGGCUCGUAUAACUCGAAGUGAAAUCGGUGGAGGAAAACGAAGACGAGCUACUACUAUCCUUCCCGAUUCCACGGAAGCGAUUACCAACCCGACCUAACCGCCGCCUAAUUCAGCCUCCCAUUGACUUGGCACCGAUUACCACCGAGCCUCGAGUGUAACAUAACCACGGCUUUCACUUUCGAUACCCGUUACACGGUUGCGGAUCCACGUUCCACGCCAUCGAGAAACGAUUCCCGCCACCUGGGGGGAGGGAAAUCGUCGUCCCUCCAGCCUUUUAAACCGUGAAAGCAACGAUGCGAUCAGGAAGGAAUGAAUCGAAGAGAGGGAAGAGUUACUCGUGAAUGAAGAUGCGCCAAGAAUAGAACCGGUCGUGGGUUCAGCGGCUGAAUGACGAUGAUACUAUUACAACCGGUUCCGCGGUCAGUGUACCGUGUAACGAGACUUCUUGCCGCAUGAAUGGAGCGCGUAAGAAGGGCAAAGCCGAUUCGACGUUCCUUCUCUACGAACCAUUGGUUGGCUCGAGGAAAAAGAAAAGAAAAGAAAAGAAAAGAGAAGAAAAGGACAGUGACAUUGAACGUCGAUAGAACUGACAUCAGAAUCCGAUCGGCUUUCGAUUUUCCUCCAGCUUUUAGCGACUCUAUACUUCGCGAAAAGAUAUACCGUCACCGCCGCGUUAUUCUCGAAGAAUAGAAGCUCUGAGUUACUCGCGUAUCCCGGAGAAACGAUUCCCAAAGGGGAAAAGUCGAUGGAAAACUACGCACUCUAUGCAAAAAGUCCGAAAAUUGCAUUGCGAAAAAGAUGGAUGGAAUAUCGCGGUUCAAGAGAGCGAUAUAUGGAAGGCUGACGAUGGAAGGUGAGGAAAAAGCGCGAAUACGUUUCGUUUCGUUACACCCCACGAAAUAAUCACCAACCCCGUGGUGGAUACUCACAAAGGCCUUCAUGUUUGGUGUGUGUAUGGUGGGCUGGUAGUCCGGUGAUUGACUGACUUGGGCCGGGCCGGCGGGCCUUAUAUACGCCUAACUCUACUCUGGCUACGCUCCACAAUCACCAUCCUUUCGAAAGCAAGGCGCUCCACCACCCUCCCCCCAGAAAAACUAUAAUCCACGCCGUACCAGCGGCCGGCGCAGAGCCAUACCUAGUCCCACCAGCUUGGUUUAGGGGGCGAAAGAGGGGACCCCUCCCUCCCCUCGCUUUUGCCCAUAGGUUGUGAGCUUGUUCGCGGGUAUUCCACGGCUUCGUCCACGGCAGGGAGUAGUGCAGCCUCCUACUCCACCCGCCCCACCAUCUUGGCCUACACACCAAGUGCAACGCCAGGCACCACCCGGGUUACCUGGUCACCACGAUACCCAACUCUCUCGUGUCCAGGCGUGGUGCACGAGGCGUGCAACGGUUGCACGACACCGGUGCUUAGGAGUCGUAAUCCGCCCGAUUCCCUGACCUCUUCCUCUUUCCCGCACAGGUGCACUCUGUGUGAGGAUGGCAUCGAUCGAGAUCGAGGGUGUGUUUUUCUUUUUCCCUCUUUUUCGAAACUCUUUGAAUUUAUUUUACUCGCAGAGAAUAUUCUUCUCCAGAGAGGAGUAGCUUUCACUCUCGACGUGCAAUCCAGGAAUCGGAGAAAAGUACGUGUUUUUAUCUAAAGAAAGAAAGAAAGAUUGUCGAAAGGAUGGAGAUACGACCCUUUCGAUUAUUCAUAUUCUAUCCUUCCCGAUUAAAAAUAUUUGUAUCUGAAAUAUAAAAGGAAAUAUUUAUGGUGUUUAAUGACGCAAUCGUGUGUGCCAAGGAAACGAGGAUCGAUCAGCUGAUCCGCGAUUGCACGUUCAAUUUUCUUUUCUUUUUUUUUUUUUUUAGCUCUUCAAGCCAAUAAUGACAUAAGAAACGAGAGACAUUAAAAAACAAAAGUGGAAACAGGCAGCAGGCAUUCCUGUUAACACAGUCGCAGGAAGUUUCGAUUGCAACAGCGUGAGAUUUAGCCCUGAAAAGCGUGCAAUUUCUCACGAUCUCUCGUAAAGAAGUAAAAGUGCGGAAUUAACCGUGCAAAACUCUAAUUGAAAUUUCGCGAAGACGACAAGAGCAAGGAUGACCUCGUAGAUCUCGAUUCGAGAUCCCAUUAAACCAGCUCCAUCUCUUAGCUCGCCGAGAAAGGAUAAUAAAGAGGAGAGUGUGCGAGAAAGAAAGAGAGAGAAAGAGCGAGAGGAAAUGACGGCAAAUCUAAGAAUGGUGAAGCGCUUGGACCAGAUUAUGACCCAGGUCAUUACCUGGAAACCUCGCGUCGAGAAGGAGCGUGGAACGCUUUUCUAAAAGAGUUAGGAAUUACGGGCCAUUGAAUGGCCUUAAGAAACCUGAAUUCUUUUCUAAAUAGAUUGGCUGCCGCCGCUUGUUACUUAUUACCUCAACCUACUAAUUCCCAUUGGCAUGGUGUACAACCGGCUGCAACUUGGAAACAGGAUCGAGAGAAAGGGGUUGCCCCUCGAUUACGAAUUACGCCAAUUCGUCAGAUUUCAAUAUUCACGUUUCUUUUUCUUUUAAUCGAACUCGAUUAUUCCUGACGAACGAUGUCUCUCUCGUUGCAACGAGAGAACGUGGACAGGUUGGAAGCGUAGGAACGCGUGUUACGUAUAGGGAACAAGGACACGCGGUUAAUUAUUAGGAGAAAUUCAGUUUGCAAAAUUGGCCCAUUACCGGAGCCCACGUUUUUCAUCCAUCCUCUAACGACGUAAUCCGACGUAAUGCUCGUCUAGAUCAACCGGCGGCAUCGAUCCCAUGUUCGCAGUUGCCGAACAAAGAGAAGAUUUGCUACCUCCUCCUCCAUCUAGAAAUUCUUCGCGAUAUAUUUACAAAGAUAACAUUAUACCGGUUCUUCUUCUUCUUCUUCUUCUUCUUCUUCUUCUCGCGAGCCGAGCCGAGCUCGAUCUACAUAAUUGUGCAACCGUUGAUCACCGAUCCACCCGCUGUUUACCAAAGAAAAAUCCCUCCGUUCUAUCCCUCGGCUGUUGAUAAAACGGUCUUAAGCGGUACGCUUCGAUAAGCGGCUUUUGUUGUAUCGCGCGCCAUUAUCUUCCCUUAUCGUGAUUAUUCCACGCUAACCGAGGCGUCUGAUUAAGGGCAACGGGAGAUAUCAGGCGUGAGAAAGGGAGAUGGAAGUGGAGAAGCGGAAGAAGGGAAGAAAGAGAGAGAGGAGGAAUACGAGAGGAAGAGAGAGACACGAUUAAAUCAUACUUUUUAAUUAAACCACGCUUCCGAAAUGACUCCUCAUACGUGAGCGUAUAACACAGCCGGCUAGUUUUCCGCCUCGUGUGCAAAGUGAAAGCCAUUAUAUUAUUUGGCGUACGCGAAAAAUUCGCCGAUCUAUUCGCGAAAGUCGCCCGCGCACCGUAUCUUUUCUCGCUAGCCCUGACCGGUUUCGAAUAUAUAUAUAUAAAAGCCGUAGCGGCGGCUCUACUCGCCUCUUUUCGCUCUUGGCCACCCUCGAAACUUGGAUCGAUCGAUCGCCAAUUAGACACGCGUCUCUCUUACGAGAAAUACG
RNAcentral lists this long non-coding RNA (3601 nucleotides) under Apis mellifera (honey bee). RNAcentral describes it as "uncharacterized LOC113218711". Lineage: Eukaryota; Metazoa; Arthropoda; Insecta; Hymenoptera; Apidae. The record is from RNAcentral.